This 253-nucleotide unclassified non-coding RNA is filed under the name uncultured Alphaproteobacteria bacterium. RNAcentral describes it as "contains 16S-23S intergenic spacer region". It matches the Rfam family "Bacterial small subunit ribosomal RNA", at positions 524 to 776 of the family's 1533-position model. The record is from RNAcentral. Lineage: Bacteria; Pseudomonadati; Pseudomonadota; Alphaproteobacteria.
UACGAAGGGGGCUAGCGUUGUACGGAAUUACUGGGCGUAAAGCGCGCGCAGGCGGUCUUUCAAGUCAGUGGUGAAAGCCCGGAGCUCAACUCCGGAAUUGCCAUUGAAACUGUAAGACUUGAGGAUGAGAGAGGUGAGUGGAAUUCCCAGUGUAGAGGUGAAAUUCGUAGAUAUUGGGAGGAACACCGGUGGCGAAGGCGGCUAACUGGAUCAUUUCUGACGCUCAGGCGCGACAGCGUGGGGAUCAAACAGG